RNA transcript from Wasmannia auropunctata (little fire ant), 2580 nucleotides. It is a transcript of the gene named diacylglycerol kinase epsilon, with no coding region annotated. NCBI's taxonomy places the organism in Eukaryota, Metazoa, Arthropoda, Insecta, Hymenoptera, Formicidae. The transcript is spliced from 13 exons. The record is from RefSeq and is a predicted model, not a curated record.
UCCUGAUGAUCAGCAAAAACAGUUGUAAAGGUUAGAUGCUAUCAGAAACACAUGUAUGUUCAACAAAUACGCACGAUAUACAAACGAUUUGAAAAGUAAAUAGCGUCGUCGCGUCUGUCACAUAACAUAUAAAAGAUCAUAAAUUCUGGAAUCCUGCACAAAUUAUUCGACGUUAUGUGGAACGAGGAUCUAAAUACUAUUAUUCUACCUACAUUGUCCACAAUGAUUUUCUUUGUAUUCACGGUAAAUUUAUUCCGAUACCUCGUAGGUAGUCCUCAUAUUCAAAUUAGAGACGUUACAAAGGAACAUAAUUGGAAGGCAAUUAGCGGAAUAACCAAGGCGUAUUAUUGCAGUAUUUGCGAAGCUUUACUAUUGAAUCGUGAUGCGCUUUUCUGCGAUUCUUGUGGCGUGUGCGCGGAUCGAGGUUGCGUAAAGUUUGCCAAUAAACGACUAAAAUGCAAGGCUAUAACUCUUAAUAAUGACCAGCUGAUGAAGCAUCAUUGGAUUAAAGGUAAUUUGCCACUUGUUGCCAUGUGUUACAUUUGUGAAGAAGAGUGCGACGCAGAGCCCGGCCUCACAGAUUGGUGGUGUUGCUGGUGUCAGAGAAGUGUUCACGAAACAUGUAAAGCUUCUCUCUCUGAAAUAUGUGAUUUUGGAAAGUUCAGAUUAAUGAUCAUUCCACCGGGAAGCCUAGAGGUAAUAAAUCGACGUAGCACAAUGAGACGCAGGUUACACCUCCGUUCUGUCAUACCACCAAACUGGCCUAAUUGGAAUCCGAUAAUUGUUGUAGGAAAUAGGAAAUCGGGAAACAAUGAUGGAGACCAAAUUUUAUCUCUAUUCCGAAGAUUGUUAAAUCCUGCGCAAAUCGUAGACUUAGCAGAACGUGAUCCAGUCGCUGCCCUCGAAUGGUGCCGUUUGUUAGGGAAAACUCAAUCCACUAUACUCGUAGCCGGGGGCGAUGGAACCGUCGCUUGGUUAUUAAACACCAUCAACAAGCUCGAGUUAAAACCUAUUCCAUCUGUAGCAAUAAUUCCUUUGGGGACAGGCAACGAUUUAUCCAGAGUAUUAGGAUGGGGAAAGGAACACGAUUCGCAUUUGGAUCCCAUGGAAUUGUUGCAGAAGAUUCAAGCAGCGGAGCAGGUGAAAUUUGACAGAUGGUCCGUGACAAUAAAACCAUACGGCGGAUUAGGAUUCAGAGGAUCACAUCGCACCUUAUUCAUGUACAAUUACAUAAGUGUGGGCGUGGACGCACAAGUGACUUUGAAUUUUCAUCGCACGAGGGAGAGUCGAUUUUAUCUGUUUAGUCAUAGAAUAUUUAACAAGCUGUUGUACCUGUGCUUUGGAACGCAACAAGUUGUGGAAAGGGAGUGCAAAGAUCUCGAUAAAAAUUUAGAAGUCUAUUUAGACGAUAAGAAAAUAGAUCUGCCUUCUAUUGAGAGCGUAGUGAUACUUAACAUUCCAUCGUGGGCUGCUGGUGUCGACCUAUGGAAAAUGGGAAUGGAAGACGACGAAGAUUCGGAAGUGCAAAGUAUUAACGAUGGCAAGUUGGAAGUAGUAGCACUUUAUUCUUCAUUCCACAUGGCUCAGCUCCAAGUAGGUCUCUCGAAACCACAUCGGAUUGGCCAAGCUAAUACUGUAAAGAUAAAAUUAUCGCGGUCGUGCGCUAUGCAAGUGGAUGGUGAACCCUGGUAUCAGCAUCCAUGCGAAUUCAACAUAACAUACUGCAAUCAGGCUUCUAUGCUGAUGAGUAACGACUUUUAAAUAUCUGCCGCGUGACCUUAUAGAAGUUUGCACAAAUGCAUUUAUUCAUACGUUACUAUAUGUACAAGUACCAGCUAAUAUUUGCCAAAGUUGUUAGCUACUUAACAGCGAUCAAAAUAUUGGAGUGCAUAAGAAAAAAAAAUGAAGAAUCUCUAGUCAAUGUUAUAUUUACACAAAAGUAUGUAUCGUUAUAUCUUUUAUUGAUUGUAGCUGUUUCGUAAUUCUAUUUAUUGAUGCCGUAUUUAUAAUGAAAAUAUACAAACAAAAUAAAAUAACACAUAAAUAAUGACAUUUUGAUGUGAUGUUUAUGAAAAUUAUUUCUCUAACAACCUGUUUCAAAUAAAUAUUUAUUUCUGUCUUUUUUUGCAGUUUUUUACAUUUAUAUUAAUUAAUGGCUUUAAAAUUUAUAUCAUUAUAUUGGUAUUCGUAAUGUGCAAUACAUUAGCAGCUAAUUUCGGAUGAUUCAAGAAUUCAUUUUGCAGAACCUCAAUCAAAAUUUUAAUUUGUAAUUACAUAAUUUUAAAAUAAUUGUAAAGAAUGAUAACGACAAAUGUAUUUUUUAUUGAUAUUGACAACCGUUUGGAUUUUACAUGAGAUGGCUAGAAUAAUGAAGGACAUUGAUUAAAAUUGUUAAAAAUUGGAAAAAUGAAAUAAGUAGCGGAAACAUCUUUUUUGAUUGCAUAAAACAAUGAACAUUAAAAUAUUUAUAACCGAAAAAUAGAAAAAUUAUUUAAGGAUUCCUUUCUAAAGCAGAAUCCGAAUUGAUCGCAUUUGUAUCGAAGAAUCUUAGCGAGUUGUGGUGGUCCGCAAUAAAAAACU